Molecule: long non-coding RNA, 758 nt
Organism: Bos taurus (domestic cattle)
Lineage: Eukaryota; Metazoa; Chordata; Mammalia; Artiodactyla; Bovidae
Source: Ensembl
GGAAGGAGGGAGGCAGAAAGCUCCUGGUAGUGGGUUGAACAGUGUUCCCCAAAUUCAUGUCCAUCCAGAACUUCAGCGUCUGACCUUACUUGCAAAUAAGUCUUUGCAAAGAUAAUUAGUUAAGGAUCUAGAAAGGAUCAUAUGGGGUUAGGGUGGGUCCCAAAUCCAAAAGCUGGUACCCUUCUAAGAGAAGAGGAAACAGACACAGGGAGACAAAGACGAUGUGCAGCUGGGGGCAGAGACUGGAGUUACGCUGCCACAAGCCAACGAAGCCAGGAGCCAUGAGAAGCUGCAAGAGCCUGGUUUCCUGGGUUUUAUCCAGCUUCUUCAAGAUGUGAUGAAUCAGAUCAAUUUUGAGCAAAUCUCAGUCUGCUCUGCAUGAGAACAGUCUUCAUUCACUCACACAACAAUUGUUUACUGAUAUCCUACCAACCACCAAGCAUAUGCUCAAGGAAAUCCUAGUAAGGAACAUGGAACUAAGUCACCAUCAACCAGAAGAGUUCAGGAAAGGUCAAAAGGAGACACCACGUGUCCAACCACCUCCUAGAAUGCUUCUCGCUGGCAUCCAUCUUGGCUGAGCAAUGCAUGUGCCACCAGGAAGGAUUCUGAGUCAGAUGAUUGGUCAAAGAAAACCCGGAAACUAAUCCCAUCACCAUAAAACCCGAGACUGCGAGCCACGUGGCAGAGCAGUUCUCCUGGGUUCCCUUACCCUGCUGCCCUCCACCCAGGCGCCCUUCCCAAUAAAGUCUCUUGCUUUG